Molecule: long non-coding RNA, 750 nt
Organism: Daphnia pulicaria
Lineage: Eukaryota; Metazoa; Arthropoda; Branchiopoda; Diplostraca; Daphniidae
Exons: 5
Source: RefSeq, a predicted model, not a curated record
GUUUUGAGAGGUUUUCUUUAAUGUUGGAGGUGUAGGCCAUCGUCAAGCCAUCUGGAUCAGUUCUGGUCUUAUUUGCUAGUUCGUCGGCAAUUUCGUUACCAUAUAUUCCUGAGUGGCUUGGGAUCCAGAGAAAGGAAUUAGUGAGCUGGCUUCCCAUUUAAAGUGUGUGACGGCUUGAAUUGCUGACUUGGAGUCAGUUAUGAUUAUAAUAUCUUGCCAGUCGAGGAUGAAAAAAGCGCAGGAUGAAACUUUUUCGAGUUGGUGACACGAUCCAUCUGUGAAUACGGAGAGGGCUGAGUCUGCUGCAUUUUCAGUGAAUCUCCUGAAUAAUUCUUGAUUUGGCGAUUUUGUAGAGCAGGCCCGUGAUCCAGGUGUCGUCAUACGCUUUGGCGAGGUCGAGGAAGAUAGCUGUUGUGGUGUGGUUUUGGUUGAAUCCACUUUUAAUGGCUGCUUCUAAUUGGAUGAGGUUGUCUGAAGUGGUGCAUCCCCGUCGGAAUCCAGUCUGGUGUUUGGGUAGGAAUGAGUGUUUGUCUAAGUACCAUUUUAUUCUAUUGUUGAUCAUUUUUUCCAUAAGUUUUGCCAGGCAGGAGGUCAGGGAAAUCGGACGGUACGAGUCGGCGUUUUCUGGUGCUUUCCCAGGCUUUAGGAUUGGGGUUACUGUCGCGUUCUUCCAUGCAUUCGGUCUUCCUUCUUCCCAUAGUUCCGAGUGUGCGUUCAUGUCACCGCCUAUGAUCGUCUCGUUGCGUGGGG